CAAAAGCUUGGUCCUGACUUUAAUAUCAUCUCAUGCUCAAUUUACACAUGCAAGUACCCGCACCCCCGUGAGAAUGCCCUCAUAUCCUCAAAUGAGGAGAAGGAGCUGGCAUCAGGCACACUAAAAGUAGCCCAAAACGCCUUGCUAAGCCACACCCCCAAGGGAACUCAGCAGUGAUAAAAAUUAAGCCAUGAGCGUAAGCUUGACUUAGUUAGAGCAUCAAAGAGCCGGUAAAACUCGUGCCAGCCACCGCGGUUAUACGAGUGUGCUCAAGACGAUAUACAACGGCGUAAAGCGUGAUUAGAGACAUAACAAAACUAAAGUUAAACACCCCCUAAACUGUUAUACGUUAAUGGGACGAGGAGAACCCACAACGAAAGUAGCUUUAACAACUUCUUGAACUCACGACCGUUGAGAAACAAACUGGGAUUAGAUACCCCACUAUGCUCAACCGUAAACAAUGAUGUUUUAAUACAAAAACCUCCGCCAGGGGACUACGAGCAGAAGCUUAAAACCCAAAGGACUUGGCGGUGCCUCAAACCCACCUAGAGGAGCCUGUCCUAAAACCGAUAAUCCACGUUAAACCUCACCCUCCCUUGUCAAUCCAGCCUAUAUACCGCCGUCGCCAGCUUACCUUCUGAGAGAACAAUAGUAAGCCCAAUGAGUAUUACUCAAAACGUCAGGUCGAGGUGUAGCCAAUGGAAGGGGAAGAGAUGGGCUACAUUUUCUGACUCAGAAUAUACACGAAUGAUGCCAUGAAAAAGCAGUACUAAAGGUGGAUUUAGCAGUAAAUAAAAACAGAACAUUUUUUUGAAACAGGCUCUGAGGCGCGUACACACCGCCCGUCGCUCUCCUCGAAAACCAAUAAAAAUAUAUAUAAAUACACAAUAAAACAAAGAGGAGGUAAGUCGUAACAUGGUAAGUGUACCGGAAGGUGCACUUGGUUAAAA
This 950-nucleotide non-coding RNA is filed under the name Xenoconger fryeri (Fryer's false moray). RNAcentral's name for it is "12S ribosomal RNA". It matches the Rfam family "Bacterial small subunit ribosomal RNA". Lineage: Eukaryota; Metazoa; Chordata; Actinopteri; Anguilliformes; Chlopsidae. The record is from RNAcentral.